RNAcentral lists this unclassified non-coding RNA (356 nucleotides) under Hevea brasiliensis (rubber tree). The record is from RNAcentral. Lineage: Eukaryota; Viridiplantae; Streptophyta; Magnoliopsida; Malpighiales; Euphorbiaceae.
GUGCAAACUUUCUUGAGACUUGGAGGUCCCUUCCAGAUUCAAACGAAGUUUCCAAAGACUUCCCUGCCAUUGUUCUAACCAAUGUUGAGGCUGUUCUGGAACGACUCGCUGCUACAAACAUGUUCUUCAUUGCCAAAAGGAAGCAUGCAAACCAGGAUGUUUUCUACUUCUCCACUAAAAUUCCCAGAGGAAUCCCUUUCUUGAUUGAACUGACUACAGUUAUCGGAAGCCCUGGGCUGAAAUGUGCCGUCAAAACCCCAAACAUUGACAUGGCACCACUCUUUUUUGAAGCCUUGGAGACUCUUCUCAAGGAAUGAUUUAAACUGCGCUUUUCUUGUUCUCUUUCUACCCUGAGU